AAGACUAUAGACCUGCGGAGUACCUGCGGAAGGAUCAUUAUUGAAUUAUGUUUCUAAAUGGGUUGUAGCUGGCUCGUCAGAGCAUGUGCACGCCUGUUUGGACUCCAUUUUCAUCCACCUGUGCACCUAUUGUAGUCUUUGGUUGGGUAUCAAGGAAGUGGUCAGCCUAUCAGCACUUGCUGGAUGUGAGGACUUGCAGUGUGAAAGCUUUGCUGUCCUUUACUUGAUCAUGGAGUUGUU
Molecule: unclassified non-coding RNA, 240 nt
Filed under: soil metagenome
Description: partial contains 5.8S ribosomal RNA, internal transcribed spacer 2, and large subunit ribosomal RNA
Source: RNAcentral